AAUAGUAGCCAUCCUGAUGGCUGUAAGGUUAUCUUCGUGUCUCUCACAAAGAUACCUGUCACUGAUUUAGGGCCCACACAGAUAAUCCAGGAUUAUUUCAUCAAGAUCCUUAAUUACAUUUGCAAGACCAGUUCUCCAAGUAAGGUCACAUUCACAGGUUCCAGGGACUCAAACAUUGACGUAUCUUUUGGGAGACCACCCUUCAACCCAUUAUUCUCCCUUUAUUUUCCUGCUUGAUACCUAUUCCAUCUGACGUAUAUUUACUCAUUUAUUAUCUUGUUUAUUGACAGACAAUAAUCAAAAUAUAUCCAUGAGGACAAGCAUUUUUGCCUGCUUUGUUUCCAGGGUUUAGAAUACUGUCUGGAUGGAGUUCCCAUCGUGGCUCAGUGGUUAACGAAUCCGACUAAGAACCAUAAGGUUGCGGGUUCGGUCCCUGUCCUUGCUCAGUGGGUUAACGAUCCAGUGUUGCCGUGAGCUGUGGUGUAGGUUGCAAACACAGCUCGGAUCCUGUGUUGCUAUGGCUCUGGCAUAGGCUGGUGGCUAUAGCUCCGAUUCGACCCCUAGCCUGGGAACCUCGACAUGCCACGGCGGCCCAAGAAAUGGCAAAAAGACAAAAACAAAACAAAACAACAAAAAAAACCACUGUCUGGCAUAAAUGGCUAUUCAGCGGAUAUUGGUUAAAUGAAGGGGUGGCUAGCCUAGGUAAAUACUGGCAGAAAUUCCCUCUCCCUCCUUUGAGGGGAAAAGGUUGGAUGUGGGGUAUUAGAUUACCUACAGCAGGUUUCUUCCUGUAGGAAUGCAAUCUCCUUAAGAUUACCCAUCAAUGAGGACACACUUCAGGGUUCUCUUUAACGGAAAAAAAAUUAGAAAUACAAGGAUUUCUCCUUGUGGCACAGCUGAAAGGAAUCCGAUUAGUAUCCAUGAGGAUACAGGUUCAAUCCCUGGCCUUGCUCUGUGGGUUAAGGAUCCUGGGUUGCUGUGUGCUCUGGUGGUAGGUUGCAGAUGUGGCUUGUAUCCCAGGUUGCUAUGUCUCUGGCCAGCAGCUGUAGCUCCGAUUUGACCCCUAGCCUGUGAACUUUCAUAUGCCACAAAUGUGGCCCUAAAAAGCAAAAAAAAAAAAAAAAAAAAAAAAAAAGGGGGGGGGGAUGCAAAAACCUUGCUUCUGUUGUCAAUUAGGAUUCCUUGGAUAAAUGGCUGAUUUUGCGUCUAGGGCAGGAAAUGUACAAAAUGGAAUGCAAGGUGGCCUCUAACGACUAACAGAAUUAUGUCAAAAACCCACUUCUGAAAAGAGAUUUUUUUUUUUUGCUUUUUAGGGCUGCAUCCCCGGCAUAUGGAAAUUCCUGGGCUGGGGUCAAAUCGGAGCUACAGCUGCCAGCUUACACCACAGCAACGUGGAAUCUGAGCUCAAUCUCUGACCUACAUCGCAGCUCACUGCAACGCCAGGUCCUUAACCCACUGAACGAGGCCAGGGAUCGAACCCGCAUCCUCAUUGAUACUUGUUGGAUUUGUCUCCGCUAUGCAACAUCAGGGAACUCCUGAAAAGAGAUCUUAAAAGAGGCUUUUUUUGAACUGCUGCUACUCAGGGAGGCUUGCCUCAUAAAAUUUCCUUAAAAGUACAAGCAUGUUUGCCUUGGUCCACCUGCCUUCUUAAGAGAUUAAGAGCAGCACACACACCACCAAGCCCUCUAAGAGAGCUUCUGUAGGGUUUGUGUUUAGCAAGGAAGGCAGGUAGCAAAGCAAGCACUGGACCCCACGUGCACUUGGCACAGGCCCAUCGCAGCCACGAGGCCAGGUUUCGUUCUACUCCACAUCGCUCUCCACUCUGAGACCUAAAUCACUGCGGGCCAGCGGACGAGACCCACAGCCCAAGCGACCGCAGGUCCCAAAUCUUCACCCAGGGGACAGUCAGUGUCCGACAAGUUGAGAGAGAACCAUAGGGCUGGAGUACACACACGAGACGCCGCCGAGCCCCGCACUUUGGGAGCACAGUCUAGUGACAAUUAGACCUUCUCGCAUCUUCCCUCCUGCCACACAUCCCUCGCUCGGACUCAAUCUCCGCCUCCGCUUCCCUGAAUCACACCCCAGGGUGACUACUUGUGAAUACUUUAGUGUGUACCCCGAGUAGGGGAGUGUCAGAGAAACAACCACGGCAACACCGUCAUCAUAAGCAACAAAACCGACAAACUCCUAAAAUCAGGAACACCUCGGCCUGCGAGAAUUCCCACUGGCUCGGAAUGUCGUCUCCGGUCGGCUGGUUUGCAUCUUCGCCGAGUCCCGGCCCCCAAAGCCCGGGCAGGCCGCUCCAGGCACUCCUGCACCCCAAACGGGCUCUCUCACACAGGCACCUGCCCGGCGGGAUCUCCGAAGGGUCCGCUGGCGCCUGGACUCCGCCCUUCCCACCUCGGGCGGACCCCGAGUCCGGCCGCCCGCGUGGACCCAACCUUCCACUAACCAACCCUCCACUCAGCGAGGGAGGUGGACCCGGAGCCCAGACGAGCGGGGCGCAACGCCGGAUGUGGGGGGCGAAGGGGAGGGUGGCCGAGCGGAUUAGCGCGUGCGUCGUGCCCGAUCGGCCGUCCAGUGUAUACGGCGAGCGGGGCGCAAACGCGCGCAAACGCGCCCGGACAGAAAGCCCUCGAGGGCGGGUGAGCGAGCCGACAGCGCCGCGGAAGAGGAGACCACGCCUGCGCGUCUCGCGCGUGCGCCCUCGCCCUUCGGCCGCGCCGCGGGGCCGGAAAAGCAGGAGU
RNAcentral lists this long non-coding RNA (2747 nucleotides) under Sus scrofa (pig). RNAcentral describes it as "lncRNA (ENSSSCG00025038339.1)". Lineage: Eukaryota; Metazoa; Chordata; Mammalia; Artiodactyla; Suidae. The record is from RNAcentral.